GACGAACGCUGGCGGCGUGCCUAAUACAUGCAAGUUGAGCGCUGAAGGUUGGUACUUGUACCAACUGGAUGAGCAGCGAACGGGUGAGUAACGCGUGGGGAAUCUGCCUUUGAGCGGGGGACAACAUUUGGAAACGAAUGCUAAUACCGCAUAAAAACUUUAAACACAAGUUUUAAGUUUGAAAGAUGCAAUUGCAUCACUCAAAGAUGAUCCCGCGUUGUAUUAGCUAGUUGGUGAGGUAAAGGCUCACCAAGGCGAUGAUACAUAGCCGACCUGAGAGGGUGAUCGGCCACAUUGGGACUGAGACCCGGCCCAAACUCCUAUGGGAGGCAGCAGUAGGGAAUCUUCGGCAAUAGACGAAAGUCUGACCGAGCAACGCCGCGUGAGUGAAGAAGGUUUUCGGAUCGUAAAACUCUGUUGGUAGAGAAGAACGUUGGUGAGAGUGGAAAGCUCAUCAAGUGACGGUAACUACCCAGAAAGGGACGGCUAACUACGUG
Molecule: ribosomal RNA, 497 nt
Filed under: uncultured bacterium
Lineage: Bacteria
Description: partial 16S ribosomal RNA
Rfam family: Bacterial small subunit ribosomal RNA
Source: RNAcentral